Molecule: ribosomal RNA, 48 nt
Filed under: Lespedeza cuneata (sericea lespedeza)
Lineage: Eukaryota; Viridiplantae; Streptophyta; Magnoliopsida; Fabales; Fabaceae
Description: partial 18S ribosomal RNA
Rfam family: Eukaryotic small subunit ribosomal RNA
Source: RNAcentral
AGAAGUCGUAACAAGGUUUCCGUAGGUGAACCUGUAGAAGGAUCAUUG